CGCGCACAACGCCGCCCCACCUCAACGCACCGCCGUCUCCGCAACGCCGCUACCGCCGCCUCCGCCUCGCCGCCGCGUCGUACCGCCGACGCCCACGACCUUCCUCCGGCCGCAUCUCACCCGAGGCACGCCCGCCGUCCUCGCCCCGCCUAAGUACCGCCGCUCGCCUCCUUCCGUCGCCGCCUGCCGGCCGCCGCAUACCCCACCCUUCAUCUCUCUCACUGCCGGCCGUCUCUCCCAAAACCCCUCUCCCACUUCACACCAUCACCUUCUCUUCCCCGCCCCUUCCAUUUUCUGCCACGGGCCCAAUCUUGUCUUAGGCCUGAUCCCUCAACGGGCCCAAGCCCAAUCAGCCGGCCCGUCGUCCACCAAGUUAUUGAAGCUGCACUCAAGCCCGCUAAGUUUACUGGAUCCAAUCCUCACUUCGACAACUGGAGAGUCCAUCAGCUGCAACCGCGCAUCGAUCGUCGCCCCAGCCCAAGUCAGGCUUCUUCCUUUACUGCAAAUUUUAUUUGUUUGU
This 520-nucleotide long non-coding RNA is filed under the name Phoenix dactylifera (date palm). Its description in RNAcentral is "long non-coding RNA (PDAC_LNC022654)". The record is from RNAcentral. Lineage: Eukaryota; Viridiplantae; Streptophyta; Magnoliopsida; Arecales; Arecaceae.